GAUGAACGCUGGCGGCGUGCCUAAUACAUGCAAGUCGAGCGAACGGACGAGAAGCUUGCUUCUCUGAUGUUAGCGGCGGACGGGUGAGUAACACGUGGAUAACCUACCUAUAAGACUGGGAUAACUUCGGGAAACCGGAGCUAAUACCGGAUAAUAUUUUGAACCGCAUGGUUCAAAAGUGAAAGACGGUCUUGCUGUCACUUAUAGAUGGAUCCGCGCUGCAUUAGCUAGUUGGUAAGGUAACGGCUUACCAAGGCAACGAUGCAUAGCCGACCUGAGAGGGUGAUCGGCCACACUGGAACUGAGACACGGUCCAGACUCCUACGGGAGGCAGCAGUAGGGAAUCUUCCGCAAUGGGCGAAAGCCUGACGGAGCAACGCCGCGUGAGUGAUGAAGGUCUUCGGAUCGUAAAACUCUGUUAUUAGGGAAGAACAUAUGUGUAAGUAACUGUGCACAUCUUGACGGUACCUAAUCAGAAAGCCAAGCUAACUACGUG
RNAcentral lists this ribosomal RNA (496 nucleotides) under uncultured bacterium. Its description in RNAcentral is "partial 16S ribosomal RNA". It matches the Rfam family "Bacterial small subunit ribosomal RNA", at positions 28 to 507 of the family's 1533-position model. The record is from RNAcentral.